RNAcentral lists this small RNA (134 nucleotides) under Marmota monax (woodchuck). Lineage: Eukaryota; Metazoa; Chordata; Mammalia; Rodentia; Sciuridae. The record is from RNAcentral.
GCUGGGUGUGGUGGCACACACCUGUAAUCCCAGCAGCUCGGGAGGCUGAGGGAGGCUGAGACAGGAGGAUCAUGAGUUCAAAGCCAGCCUCAACAAUAGCGAGGUGCUAAAUAAUCAGUGAGACCCUGUCUCUA